GGGUCAGGCCUGCCCGGUGGCGUUAAGCUAAACGGCUGCAACGAGAGUUGUACUAAGGUAGCGUGAUAAGUUGUCCUUUAAUUGAGGACUGGAAUGAAUGGUUUUAUGUGGAAAAUCUGUCUUCGUAAAAUUGUAUGAAUUUUCUUUUUGUGUGAAAAAGCUUAAGUGUUUGUAAUAGACGAGAAGACCCUGUCGAGUUUAAUUAGAACUAUAUAAAAAUAUGUUUGUUUGAAGUUUUGUUGGGGCAACAUAAAUUGAUGUAACGAUUUUUAUAAUAAUGUAGAUCCUUUUUGAAAGAAAAAAGCAAAAAUUACCGCAGGGAUAACAGCGUGAUUUCUCCUAAGAGAGCUUAUUGAGGGAGGGGUGUGCGACCUCGAUGUUGAAUUAAGAAAACUUUACGGUGCAGCAGCUGUAAAAGUAAGACUGUUCGUCUUUUAAAUUCUUACAUGAUCUGAGUUUCCAGAACCGGAA
This 471-nucleotide ribosomal RNA is filed under the name Dosinia orbiculata. RNAcentral's name for it is "partial large subunit ribosomal RNA". It matches the Rfam family "Bacterial large subunit ribosomal RNA", at positions 1850 to 2624 of the family's 2925-position model. Lineage: Eukaryota; Metazoa; Mollusca; Bivalvia; Venerida; Veneridae. The record is from RNAcentral.